AUCUGUGGUAAUUCUAGAGCUAAUACAUGCACCAAAGCUCCGACUCUGUGACGAGCGCAUUUAUUAGAACAAAACCAAUCGAGCUUCGGCUCGGUUGUUGGUGACUCUGAAUAACUACGGCUGAUCGCAUGGUCUCGUACCGGCGACAUGUCAAUCAAGUAUCUGCCUUAUCAACUUUCGAUGGUAGGUUAUGUGCCUACCAUGGUUGUAACGGGUAACGGAGAAUAAGGGUUCGACUCCGGAGAGGGAGCCUGAGAAACGGCUACCACAUCCAAGGAAGGCAGCAGGCGCGCAAAUUACCCACUCUCGGCAUGAGGAGGUAGUGACGAAAAAUAACGAAACCGAUCUCAAUGAGGCCGGUUAUCGGAAUGAGCACGACUUAAACCCUCUAACGAGGAUCUAUGAGAGGGCAAGUCUGGUGCCAGCAGCCGCGGUAAUUCCAGCUCUCAAAGUGUAUAUCGUCAUUGUUGCGGUUAAAAAGCUCGUAGUUGGAUCUGCGCCUGAGGACUCGGUCCGUCCACUGGGCGUGAACUGAGCUCCUAGGCAGUUUUGCUGGUUUUCCCUUCGUUGCCUUAAUUGGUAGCGUCGGGUGGCUAGCGAGCUUACUUUGAAAAAAUUAGAGUGCUCCAAACAGGUUUACGCCUGUAUAGCCGUGCAUGGAAUAAUGGAAUAGGAUCUCGGUUCUAUUUUGUUGGUU
RNAcentral lists this ribosomal RNA (697 nucleotides) under Gnathostoma turgidum. RNAcentral describes it as "SSU rRNA". It matches the Rfam family "Eukaryotic small subunit ribosomal RNA", at positions 145 to 849 of the family's 1831-position model. Lineage: Eukaryota; Metazoa; Nematoda; Chromadorea; Rhabditida; Gnathostomatidae. The record is from RNAcentral.